UCGAGCGGAACGAUCCUAGCUUGCUAGGAGGCGUCGAGCGGCGGACGGGUGAGUAAUGCAUAGGAAUCUGCCCGGUAGUGGGGGAUAACUUGAGGAAACUCAAGCUAAUACCGCAUACGCCCUACGGGGGAAAGCAGGGGCUCUUCGGACCUUGCGCUAUCGGAUGAGCUUAUGUCGGAUUAGCUGGUUGGUGAGGUAACGGCUCACCAAGGCGACGAUCCGUAGCUGGUCUGAGAGGAUGAUCAGCCACAUCGGGACUGAGACACGGCCCGAACUCCUACGGGAGGCAGCAGUGGGGAAUAUUGGACAAUGGGGGCAACCCUGAUCCAGCCAUGCCGCGUGUGUGAAGAAGGCCCUCGGGUUGUAAAGCACUUUCAGCGAGGAAGAAUGCUUGUCGGUUAAUACCCGGCAAGGGAGACAUCACUCGCAGAAGAAGCACCGGCUAACUCCGUGCCAGCAGCCGCGGUAAUACGGAGGGUGCGAGCGUUAAUCGGAAUUACUGGGCGUAAAGCGUGCGUAGGCGGCUUGAUAAGCCGGUUGUGAAAGCCCCGGGCUCAACCUGGGAACGGCAUCCGGAACUGUUAGGCUAGAGUGCAGGAGAGGAAGGUAGAAUUCCCGGUGUAGCGGUGAAAUGCGUAGAGAUCGGGAGGAAUACCAGUGGCGAAGGCGGCCUUCUGGACUGACACUGACGCUGAGGUACGAAAGCGUGGGUAGCAAACAGGAUUAGAUACCCUGGUAGUCCACGCCGUAAACGAUGUCGACUAGCCGUUGGGGUCCUCGAGACCUUUGUGGCGCAGUUAACGCACUAAGUCGACCGCCUGGGGAGUACGGCCGCAAGGUUAAAACUCAAUGAAUUGACGGGGGCCCGCACAAGCGGUGGAGCAUGGUGGUUUAAUUCGAUGCAACGCGAAGAACCUUACCUACCCUUGACAUCGUGCGA
Molecule: ribosomal RNA, 940 nt
Filed under: Halomonas elongata
Lineage: Bacteria; Pseudomonadati; Pseudomonadota; Gammaproteobacteria; Oceanospirillales; Halomonadaceae
Description: bacterial SSU rRNA
Rfam family: Bacterial small subunit ribosomal RNA
Source: RNAcentral